Pygocentrus nattereri (red-bellied piranha) is the source of this 1572-nucleotide long non-coding RNA. Lineage: Eukaryota; Metazoa; Chordata; Actinopteri; Characiformes; Serrasalmidae. The record is from Ensembl.
GCUCUGUCCUCAGCUCUCAGCUCAAACCACUCAUGUCUGGUAGAACUGGACCUUGGCAACAAUCAACUGCUGCAGGAUUCAGGAGUGAAGCUACUCUCUGCUGGACUGAAGAAUCCACACUGUAAACUGGAGAUACUGAGGUGAGAUCAUCUCUUAGUUACUUUGUAUGUAUGUGUGUGUGUGUGUGUGUUGAUCUGUUAGUGUGAAGAGCUUUUUUCUUCCCUCUGCAGGAUGUAUAACUGCACUAUUACAGGUGAAGGCUUUUCUGCUCUGGCUUCAGCUCUAAAAUCAAACCCCUCAUCUCACCUGAGAGAGCUGAACCUGAACUGGAAUAAGCCAGGAGAGUCAGGAGUUAAGUUGCUCUCUGAUCUACUGGAGGAUCCAUACUGCAAACUGGAGAAACUACACAUCUCAACAACAAAUAGCUGAUCUGCUUUCACACAGACCCCCACACACACAUACAUAACACCCACACAGACCCACACACACAUACACUUCCUCUCUGUGUGCUGACACGUCAUUCUUUAUCAACUUUAUGAUGUGAUUGGAACUGUGAGCUGCCUCUCAGUUGUGAAUCAGCAAAGUGAACAGCAGCCGGCUGAGCACACUGCCCUAGGGGGCUCUGUGUGAUGGUGUUAGAGAUGCUGCUCCCGAUCCAGACUGACUGAAGAUUCUCAGUGAGAAUGUCCAGGAUCCAAUUGCAGAGGGAAAUAUUCAGGCCCAGCAGGCUCAGCUUUCCAACAGCAUGGAUGUGCUGUUCACUUCAAAGCUGAAUUGAAGUCUAUGAACAGCAUUUUAACAUGUGUCCUCCUUUUCAAGAUGACUGCGGGCCAGAUGAAGAGUGGUGUACAUGGAGCAAUAUGUUAAAUGCAGUGUCCAGUGAAGGAGGCAGUUGGGUCUGGAUGUGCCUCAUUACAAGCCUCUCGAAGCAUUUCAUGAUGAUGGGUGUGAGUGUGGCGGGAUGACAGCCAUUGAGGCAGGAUACUGGAGAUUUCUUUGGUACAGAGACAAUGGUGUUGGCCUUGAAGCACAGUGGACAAAGGAGCUUCUUAGCAAGAUGUUAUAGAUGUCUGUAAAAACUUCCACUAGUUGGUCUGCACAUUCAGAGAGGAAUGUUGUCUGGUUUGCAGAGUUUUCCUCAUAUCAGCAGUGGACAGGUGCAAUGCGGGCCUUCAGCAGCCUUUGCAUCUCAGCAGUCAUUUAUGACUUCUGAGUUUUGUGUGUGAUGAUAGUCCCGGAGACAGUAACAUCAUCAAUGCAUUUGCACAUAUAGCCAGUCACUGAUACUGUGUAUUCCUUUGGGUUAACUUAAUCAUUGUCAUUGGCAGCCUCUCUAAACAUGCCCCAUGUGUUGCUCAAAGCAAUCUUGAAGAGGAGAAAUGGCUCCUGCUGGCCAGGUUUUCACCUGCUUCUGGACUGCUCUGGAGUGUCUUAUAAGCGGUCUGUAUGCAGGUAUCAGCAUUACAGGAGUGUGGUCUGAGUAGCCAAAGGUGGGGGUAGGGCUCCGCCCAGUAUGUGUCAGAAAAGUCUUUGGAGAAUCAAGUGCUUCAGUUUCAGCUGACUGUAACAAUG